AACGAACGCUGGCGGCAUGCCUAACACAUGCCAGUCGAACGAGACCUUCGGGUCUAGUGGCGCACGGGUGCGUAACGCGUGGGAACCUGCCCUUAGGUUCGGAAUAACUCCCCGAAAGGGGUGCUGAUACCGGAUAAUGUCUUCGGACCAAAGAUUUAUCGCCUUUGGAUGGGCCCGCGUUGGAUUAGCUAGUUGGUAGGGUAAAAGCCUACCAAGGCGACGAUCCAUAGCUGGUCUGAGAGGAUGAUCAGCCACACUGGGACUGAGACACGGCCCAGACUCCUACGGGAGGCAGCAGUGGGGAAUAUUGGACAAUGGGCGAAAGCCUGAUCCAGCAAUGCCGCGUGAGUGAUGAAGGCCUUAGGGUUGUAAAGCUCUUUUACCCGGGAUGAUAAUGACAGUACCGGGAGAAUAAGCUCCGGCUAACUCCGUG
This 433-nucleotide ribosomal RNA is filed under the name uncultured bacterium. RNAcentral describes it as "partial 16S ribosomal RNA". It matches the Rfam family "Bacterial small subunit ribosomal RNA", at positions 29 to 507 of the family's 1533-position model. The record is from RNAcentral.